Molecule: transfer RNA, 75 nt
Filed under: Patescibacteria group bacterium
Lineage: Bacteria
Also listed under: 1 other name
Description: tRNA-Arg
Rfam family: tRNA
About the family: Transfer RNA (tRNA) molecules are approximately 80 nucleotides in length.
Source: RNAcentral
GCCUCCAUAGUUCAAUGGAUAGAACGAAGGUUUCCUAAACCUUAAAUCCAAGUUCGAUUCUUGGUGGAGGCACCA